Molecule: unclassified non-coding RNA, 138 nt
Filed under: uncultured Venturiaceae
Lineage: Eukaryota; Fungi; Ascomycota; Dothideomycetes; Venturiales; Venturiaceae
Description: sequence contains ITS1
Source: RNAcentral
CUGGGCACCGAGCGCUCGCGCUCACCCCCACCCUAUGCUUCGCCCCGAAACGCACUCGGCGUCGUGGGCCCCCUUCGGGGCCCCUGCCGGAACCCAACCCUGAACAACCUGCAGCCUGAAGUUAAAAGCAAACAGUUA